UGGGGAAUAUUGGACAAUGGGCGAAAGCCUGAUCCAGCCAUGCCGCGUGAGUGACGAAGGCCUUAGGGUUGUAAAACUCUUUCGUCGGGGACGAUAAUGACGGUACCCGAAGAAGAAGCUCCGGCUAACUUCGUGCCAGCAGCCGCGGUAAUACGAAGGGAGCUAGCGUUGUUCGGAAUCACUGGGCGUAAAGCGCACGUAGGCGGAUAGUUAAGUCAGGGGUGAAAUCCCGAGGCUCAACCUCGGAACUGCCUCCGAUACAGCACGUCUCGAGUCCGGAAGAGGUGAGUGGAAUUCCUAGUGUAGAGGUGAAAUUCGUAGAUAUUAGGAAGAACACCAGUGGCGAAGGCGGCUCACUGGUCCGGUACUGACGCUGAGGUGCGAAAGCGUGGGGAGCAAACAGGAUUAGAUACCCAAGUAGUCCCUGAGCGGGCUGGCAAGGCGCAU
Molecule: ribosomal RNA, 447 nt
Filed under: uncultured bacterium
Lineage: Bacteria
Description: bacterial SSU rRNA
Rfam family: Bacterial small subunit ribosomal RNA
Source: RNAcentral